AAUUAUAUUAAAUUAAAGUUCAUAUAUAUAUAUAUAUAUUAUGUUGUGAAAAUAUUACCUUUUGCACCUAAUAUAUAUCAACAAUUAGAUAUGAUAGUAAAAUUUCCCAAAAUCUUAAAUUUGAUAAAUCCAUGUUAGCUAUAUAAACUGCAUUCUUUAUUUAUCUUUUAUUUUGCAUCAUCAUUUGGAAUCAGAUGAACUCUUCUUUUGUCAUUUUUCAUACUUAUCAGCUUUAUAUUUGCUAGUCGCAACUAUUUUUCUUAUCUUCCUCUUGUUUAUAAUUUCAUUUUUUUUUUACAAAAUAUUAGCCUAUUAGCCUUAUUUGUUACAAAGUUUGUUGUGUUAUCGAUAGUGUUCCAAAUUAUGGAACAAACUAUAAUACAUCUUCUUGUGAAGAGAAGUAACCGAUAUCGAAUAUUAUUCUUAUAAACUAAUACGUUUUCUUUUACAUUUGGUUUGUUAAUCUCAACUUUAAAAAACAUAUUUCAUUACUGUUAGUUUUGAUCAUCCAACCAAUUAAUCUCUUUUACUCUUCACAACAUGACUUGCUUUUGUUAUAAAAGGAAAACAUUUGCAAGUUAAAUAGUUUUAAAAACGGUUUAUUAUAUAUGUGUGGGUGGAUUGAUCACUUUUCAAUGAACGCCAACACAUCGGCCACGUUUUAGUUUUUAACAAUGUUUUUAAAACUAGACUGGAAACUGAACCAGAUAAUUAUGUGAGUCACGAUUCAAUAUUUUUCGACUGAGUCAAACUUGAUUCAAUAAUAUGGUUCAAUAUUUUAAAUUAAAGAAAUUUAAAAGUAAAGACAGUAUCUAUCCUAUACUAAAAGCACGAUAUAGAGUGAUUUUACAGUGUCCACGUCGACAAAUUUAUUCAGCCAAUCAAAACAUUUCAAUAAUACACGUAUGAUCUCCUAAACUGUUGCUUUUGUAUGGGCUUCAAUGUGGUUUUACUGGGCUUCGUCGGUUUCAAUUUACCGAUACAAUUAGAAAAAAAAAACCCGAGACGGAUAACACGAUGCUCUCUCCUCUAUCGCUUCGUCUUCACCGUUUCCUCUCCAUCCUUUCAGUUUUCUCGAUCCUCAUAUUAUAAAUAUUCGGCUUUAAGGAAUUCGGAGAAGGAAAGAAGGAGACCAUAUUGACAGACAUGCAUUUGAAGAUCUUCACAACCACAUCAAGAGCUCGGCGGUGAUCGUGACGGAGCCCGAUUUCAACGCCAAGAUCUGCCACUUCUCUGCCACUUCGGCACCGUGCAGCUCUGCGGGGAAACAGACGGAUCGAGAGAUUCCAAAGCCGUUAGAUUCGAAGGAGUGAAAGGAUACAUGUCGCCGGAUUUUCAGGCUUCGGGGGUUGCGACUCAGGAAUCAGACGUGUUCGCCUUCGGAGUCAUGAUGCUUGAGCUUCUCUCCGGCGAGGAGCCGUUGAAGUAUACGUAUGAGAAAACUGUCGGGGAUUUUGAACGGACUUUGGUGAUUGAAACCGCGAAAGCGGUGGUUGACGGCGGAGAUGGUGGUGACAUAGGGGGCGGUUGAGGAGGUGGAUGGAUCGGAGGUUGGGGGAUUCGUUUCCGGUGACGGUGGUGGAGAAGUUAAUGCGGUUGGCGUUGGAGUGCGUCGAGGAUGAGGCGGUGAACCGGCUGGAGAUGGGAAGAGUCGCCGGAAAGAUAUCGCAAUUGUAUUUGGAAUCGGAGAAAUGGUUGGCGAAUAUGAAGACUUCCUUUCCAGGUUUCAGAAGUCUCAUUUCUUUGUUAGGAUCGCAGAGUCUGGUGAGCCGCUUUGGUCAAAGAAACCUCUGUGUUGGGAGAUACAAAGCUAGAGGAAAAGCGGGAAAAAGAGACCUUGUGUUAGUGCUUUUUUAGAUAGAGGAGAGUUUGAUCUUAAUGUUGCUGGAGGUGCAGCAAGAAGUAAGGCAAAAUGUUGUGCCUUACCCAAUGGAGACACAUGAUGGUAAUUCUUAUAAGUUGUUGUUUUAACCUACUGAUUCUCACACAAUGUCUUUAUUUGGAAGGGUGAAGGUCUCUUUACAAGUUUAUAUCGCUGACUGUCCCAAAGAACCAAUCAUUGAGAUACUGCAGUUUGAGAAGCAUCAAGACAUGGACCAACUUUCUGAUCAUGAACACAAUGAUCCAUAUGGGAACCUUUUGAAGUGGUUGAUACCGUUGGAUAACACUAUUUCUCAGCAACCCCGUUACCUCCUAUAAGCUCUACCCCAGAUAUCAGCAGCAGUGCACACAAGCCAUUACUCUCUUCUGGCUCAGGAUCUCAGCUCUUCUCAUUCGUCCAUUUUAGAAGCUACUCCAUGUUAGCUCUGCCGGCGCCGUGUUUAUAGUUUCUGUACGUAUGUGUUUGUGGAAGCAGUGCACACAAGCCAUUACUCUCUUCUGGCUCAGGAUCUCAGCUCUUCUCAUUCGUCCAUUUUAGAAGCUACUCCAUGUUAGCUCUGCCGGCGCCGAACACUGCACCAGUUACUGGACCCGUAAAAACUGAAAGCUCCAAACCAUCAUUUGACCUUGAAGACUGGAACUGUUACUCAGGUCAAACAUUAUGGAACGGUCACAAGUCUGGGACUGAAGAGCUCUUAUCUUUCCGGGGUGUCCCUUUGGAGCGGGAUAAAUUCUCUGUUCGUUGUGGACGUGAAGGCAUAUGCAUUCCUGGUAAGAAGAUGGAGGAAGAAACUCGAAAUCAUUCAACCUAUUGAUAUCAAUUCUUUUACAGCUGAUUGUAAUACAGAUAAACAUUUAAUAUAAAUAGUUUUAAAUUUUUAUAAUAAAUUCUAAUGUAUAUAUGUAACAUGGUCAUAUUUAAUAUAAUAUGGGUAUAUUUUGUUAACU
Molecule: RNA transcript, 2829 nt
Organism: Brassica napus (rape)
Lineage: Eukaryota; Viridiplantae; Streptophyta; Magnoliopsida; Brassicales; Brassicaceae
Exons: 2
Source: RefSeq, a predicted model, not a curated record